GACGAACGCUGGCGGCGUGCUUAACACAUGCACGUCGAACGGAAAGGCCCUGCUUUUGUGGGGUGCUCGAGUGGCGAACGGGUGAGUAACACGUGAGUAACCUGCCCUUGACUUUGGGAUAACUUCAGGAAACUGGGGCUAAUACCGGCUAGGAGCUCCUGCUGCAUGGUGGGGGUUGGAAAGUUUCGGCGGUUGGGGAUGGACUCGCGGCUUAUCAGCUUGUUGGUGGGGUAGUGGCUUACCAAGGCUUUGACGGGUAGCCGGCCUGAGAGGGUGACCGGCCACAUUGGGACUGAGAUACGGCCCAGACUCCUACGGGAGGCAGCAGUGGGGAAUAUUGCACAAUGGGCGGAAGCCUGAUGCAGCAACGCCGCGUGCGGGAUGACGGCCUUCGGGUUGUAAACCGCUUUCGCCUGUGACGAAGCGUGAGUGACGGUAAUGGGUAAAGAAGCACCGGCUAACUACGUG
This 468-nucleotide ribosomal RNA is filed under the name uncultured bacterium. RNAcentral describes it as "partial 16S ribosomal RNA". It matches the Rfam family "Bacterial small subunit ribosomal RNA", at positions 28 to 507 of the family's 1533-position model. The record is from RNAcentral.